AGUUGGUCCGAAAGCUGUGGGUUAUCAUAUUUGUCUCCCCCACAACCCCACAACCAUGUUUGACUGACUGUGUUUU
Molecule: unclassified non-coding RNA, 76 nt
Organism: Capra hircus (goat)
Lineage: Eukaryota; Metazoa; Chordata; Mammalia; Artiodactyla; Bovidae
Rfam family: Y RNA
About the family: Y RNAs are components of the Ro ribonucleoprotein particle (Ro RNP), in association with Ro60 and La proteins. The Y RNAs and Ro60 and La proteins are well conserved, but the function of the Ro RNP is not known.
Source: Ensembl